This 454-nucleotide ribosomal RNA is filed under the name uncultured bacterium. RNAcentral's name for it is "bacterial SSU rRNA". It matches the Rfam family "Bacterial small subunit ribosomal RNA", at positions 8 to 507 of the family's 1533-position model. The record is from RNAcentral.
AGAGUUUGAUCCUGGCUCAGGACGACGCUGGCGGUGUGCUUCACACAUGCAAGUCGAACGAGGUAGCAAUACCUAGUGGCGACGGGUGAGUAACGCGUGGGAAUCUGCCUUGAGAUGGGGGAUAACGAGCCGAAAGGCUCGCUAAUACCGCAUAUGCCGAAAGGUGAAAGGAGUAAUCCGUCUUAAGAUGAGCCCGCGUCCGAUUAGCUAGUUGGUGGGGUAAAGGCCUACCAAGGCGACGAUCGGUAGCUGGUCUGAGAGGAUGAUCAGCCACAAUGGGACUGAGACACGGCCCAUACUCCUACGGGAGGCAGCAGUGGGGAAUUUUACGCAAUGGGGGAAACCCUGACGUAGCGACACCGCGUGAGCGAAGAAGCCCUUUGGGGUGUAAAGCUCUGUCAGCUGGAACGAAAAAAUGACGGUACCAGCAGAGGAAGCAUCGGCUAACUACGUG